AGUGGGUUUUACAAGCAGCAUUGCAGAGAGUUAUGGAAAGGCAGCCAAAGGCUGUUUUAAUGGAAUAUUGUUCUAAUUGCCUGGAUUUAGGGCAAAUGUUUUUAUUUAAUCUCCAUAUAACAGAUCUCAGUUUGCUUAUUGGGCUUUCCUUAUGCAUAGGAACUCCUGACAGUGAGAUCUACAGUGGUAGAGACCACAGAAUACUGAAGGCAAGAUCCACAAUGUGGUUCUGAGAGGAAGAUUUUGCCCUUAAUCAGUACUGACUGGAUUUGCCAUGUUGCAAGCUGAUAGUUUCAAAAAUAAGGGAUAAGAGAGGGGUUUUUUUAAUUGGGCAUUUUCCUCCCCCUAACAACCAACACUUGCCUGCUUUAUUUUUGUUCAGGUUGCUGAAACUGAGAGUGAAUCCCCCGAUACAGAAUCGCUACAGCAAAUCCCAAGCACUGAACCGCAGCAAGUCAAUGAAGAAGCAGACAAGGAGAGAACAAAUCUUCUAACAGAAAGAGAUUUCUGUUUAGACAAAACUCAGACUUUACAGAUGAAGAAAAAAACAGGUUCUGAAAAAAGGAAGAAAAAAGCUUCAAAGAGCGACAGAUUUCCGUCUGGCAAAGAAAAGAAGCUUGUGCCCGGGAAAUUAUCCAGUUCAGACGGUGCAGGUCUGAGAAAGACACACACACCAAAACAUAAAAGAUUUUCCUCAGAGACGCAGAAUGCCAUGAUGGCUAGAGACCCCAAGACUGCCUCCCGGGCCCAUUCGGCUAUUCCGCUAGUGCCAGGAGAGAAAAUGAUUCCUACUCCUCCACCUGAGGUAUGUGAUAAACAAGGGGGGGAAAGUUGCAUUUAUCACUGGGAAUAUGUUCCAAGGGCUUUCAUGACCAGAAUUUCAUGUUUUGGAAAUAUGACUCAUGGUAUUGCUGAUAUGUAUGUUCAGAUUUUUUAAGAACCCCAGAGUGUUUCCUGUCUGACUCCCUGAAAAUUGUGUUUCUCCAAUUGAAAACCCAGUUCCCUUAGACAGGAUCCAUGCAAUCCGACCCUGGUCCCUGCUGACAUAGAUUGGACAGAUUCACUUUGGAGUCCGCCAGAGCUCCAGCUUCACUGGUUAUAGGGGUUGCUGUUGAGGUGGUAUGAAUUGGCUUGGCACCUAUUUGCAGGAUCAUUCUGAUUGUAGUGGAUGUUUACUGGUCCUGGAGUCAGUAAUUCAUUUGAUUAAUAGCACUCUUGCUGUUUAUCUGUAAUAAUCUAUCUGGGCAUGUUUACUGGAAACAUGCAAGAACUGGGGAGCCAAUAUCAAUCA
This 1291-nucleotide long non-coding RNA is filed under the name Chrysemys picta bellii (western painted turtle). Its description in RNAcentral is "lncRNA (ENSCPBG00000014410.1)". The record is from RNAcentral. Lineage: Eukaryota; Metazoa; Chordata; Testudines; Emydidae.